Molecule: ribosomal RNA, 404 nt
Filed under: Fusobacteriota bacterium
Lineage: Bacteria; Fusobacteriati; Fusobacteriota
Description: Fusobacteria bacterium partial 16S ribosomal RNA
Rfam family: Bacterial small subunit ribosomal RNA
Source: RNAcentral
UGGGGAAUAUUGCACAAUGGAGGGAACUCUGAUGCAGCGACGCCGCGUGAGUGAUGAAGGAAUUCGUUUCGUAAAACUCUGUUCUAUGGGAAGAAAAGGACUGUACCAUAGGAGAAAGCUCCGGCUAAAUACGUGCCAGCAGCCGCGGUAAUACGUAUGGAGCGAGCGUUGUCCGGAAUUAUUGGGCGUAAAGGGUGCGCAGGCGGCUUUACAAGUUGGAUGUGAAAUAUUGUGGCUCAACCACAAACGUGCAUCCAAAACUGCGAAGCUUGAGUUAAGGAGAGGUAAGUGGAAUUCCUGGUGUAGCGGUGGAAUGCGUAGAUAUCAGGAGGAAUACCGGUGGCGAAGGCGACUUACUGGACUUAAACUGACGCUCAGGCACGAAAGCGUGGGGAGCAAACAGG